GUCGAGCGGAUGAGAAGAGCUUGCUCUUCGAUUCAGCGGCGGACGGGUGAGUAAUGCCUAGGAAUCUGCCUGGUAGUGGGGGACAACGUUUCGAAAGGAACGCUAAUACCGCAUACGUCCUACGGGAGAAAGCAGGGGACCUUCGGGCCUUGCGCUAUCAGAUGAGCCUAGGUCGGAUUAGCUAGUUGGUGAGGUAAUGGCUCACCAAGGCGACGAUCCGUAACUGGUCUGAGAGGAUGAUCAGUCACACUGGAACUGAGACACGGUCCAGACUCCUACGGGAGGCAGCAGUGGGGAAUAUUGGACAAUGGGCGAAAGCCUGAUCCAGCCAUGCCGCGUGUGUGAAGAAGGUCUUCGGAUUGUAAAGCACUUUAAGUUGGGAGGAAGGGCAUUAACCUAAUACGUUAGUGUUUUGACGUUACCGACGGAAUAAGCACCGGCUAACUCCGUGCCAGCAGCCGCGGUAAUACAGAGGGUGCAAGCGUUAAUCGGAAUUACUGGGCGUAAAGCGCGCGUAGGUGGUUUGCUAAGUUGAAUGUGAAAGCCCCGGGCUCAACCUGGGAACUGCAUCCAAAACUGGCAAGCUAGAGUACGGUAGAGGGUGGUGGAAUUUCCUGUGUAGCGGUGAAAUGCGUAGAUAUAGGAAGGAACACCAGUGGCGAAGGCGACCACCUGGACUGAUACUGACACUGAGGUGCGAAAGCGUGGGGAGC
RNAcentral lists this ribosomal RNA (713 nucleotides) under uncultured Pseudomonadales bacterium. RNAcentral's name for it is "bacterial SSU rRNA". It matches the Rfam family "Bacterial small subunit ribosomal RNA", at positions 61 to 769 of the family's 1533-position model. Lineage: Bacteria; Pseudomonadati; Pseudomonadota; Gammaproteobacteria; Pseudomonadales. The record is from RNAcentral.